UUGCUCUUCAACGAGGAAUUCCUAGUAAGCGCGAGUCAUCAGCUCGCGUUGACUACGUCCCUGCCCUUUGUACACACCGCCCGUCGCUCCUACCGAUUGAAUGGUCCGGUGAAGUGUUCGGAUCGUGGCGACGUGGGCGGUUCGCUGCCUGCGACGUCGCGAGAAGUCCACUGAACCUUAUCAUUUAGAGGAAGGAGAAGUCGUAACAAGGUUUCCGUAGGUGAACCUGCGGAAGGAUCAUUGUCGAUGCCUAAACAUCAAACGACCCGUGAACGUGUUUUCAAACCUUUUGUGUCGGGGGGAGCAUUCGUGCCCCCUUUGAUGCCUAAACCAAAACCGGCGCAAGUCGCGCCAAGGAGCUCAAACGAAUAAGCUUGCCCCUUGCCCCGGUCUCGGUGUGCGGGGGGCAAAGCAUUCUUGUCGUAUUAUUCACAACGACUCUCGGCAACGGAUAUCUCGGCUCUCGCAUCGAUGAAGAACGUAGCGAAAUGCGAUACUUGGUGUGAAUUGCAGGAUCCCGCGAACCACCGAGUCUUUGAACGCAAGUUGCGCCCGGAGCCUUCUGGCCGAGGGCACGUCUGCCUGGGCGUCACGCAUCGCUGCCCCCACAUACAACACCCACUUAGGUCUGUUGCAUUGGCGGGGGCACAUGUUGGCCUCCCGUGCGCACUGUCGCACGGAUGGCUUAAAAUUGAGUCCUCGGCAUCUGUUGUCGUGACACUACGGUGGUUGAUUCAACCUCGGUACCGUGUCUCGAUCUCAGCUUGCGUGCCUCCUCUUUGUGAGUGAGGGAGGAAUCUUAUGUUGACCCUUUGAACAUUGUCCCCAAAGAUGAUGCUCUCGACGCGACCCCAGGUCAGGCGGGACUACCCGCUGAGUUUAAGCAUAUCAAUAAGCGGAGGA
RNAcentral lists this ribosomal RNA (903 nucleotides) under uncultured eukaryote. RNAcentral describes it as "eukaryotic LSU rRNA". The stretch from base 1 to 243 matches the Rfam family "Eukaryotic small subunit ribosomal RNA", at positions 1593 to 1831 of the family's 1831-position model. The record is from RNAcentral.